GACGAACGCUGGCGGCGUGCAUAACACAUGCAAGUCGAGCGGAAAGGCCCUUCGGGGUACUCGAGCGGCGAACGGGUGAGUAACACGUGAGCAACCUGCCCCUAGCUUCGGGAUAGCUCCGGGAAACCGGAAUUAAUACCGGAUAUGACCGUGACCGACAUCAGUCACGGUGGAAAGUUUUUCGGCUAGGGAUGGACUCG
RNAcentral lists this ribosomal RNA (200 nucleotides) under uncultured bacterium. RNAcentral's name for it is "partial 16S ribosomal RNA". It matches the Rfam family "Bacterial small subunit ribosomal RNA", at positions 28 to 233 of the family's 1533-position model. The record is from RNAcentral.